CCUCGGCCUGGACUACCGCAUCUGCGCCGCCACCGCCGGCGCCAUGGGCGGCUCCAAGUCCGAGGAGUUCCUCGCCCCGGCCGAGGCC
RNAcentral lists this transfer RNA (88 nucleotides) under Streptomyces thermoviolaceus subsp. apingens. Its description in RNAcentral is "tRNA-Gly". Lineage: Bacteria; Bacillati; Actinomycetota; Actinomycetes; Kitasatosporales; Streptomycetaceae. The record is from RNAcentral. RNAcentral also lists the same sequence under 1 other name.